Molecule: ribosomal RNA, 1363 nt
Filed under: unidentified marine bacterioplankton
Lineage: Bacteria
Description: bacterial SSU rRNA
Rfam family: Bacterial small subunit ribosomal RNA
Source: RNAcentral
GAGUUUGAUCAUGGCUCAGAUUGAACGCUGGCGGCAUGCCUUACACAUGCAAGUCGAACGGCAGCACGGGUGCUUGCACCUGGUGGCGAGUGGCGAACGGGUGAGUAAUACAUCGGAACAUGUCCUGUAGUGGGGGAUAGCCCGGCGAAAGCCGGAUUAAUACCGCAUACGAUCUACGGAUGAAAGCGGGGGACCUUCGGGCCUCGCGCUAUAGGGUUGGCCGAUGGCUGAUUAGCUAGUUGGUGGGGUAAAGGCCUACCAAGGCGACGAUCAGUAGCCGGUCUGAGAGGACGACCAGCCACACUGGGACUGAGACACGGCCCAGACUCCUACGGGAGGCAGCAGUGGGGAAUUUUGGACAAUGGGCGAAAGCCUGAUCCAGCAAUGCCGCGUGUGUGAAGAAGGCCUUCGGGUUGUAAAGCACUUUUGUCCGGAAAGAAAUCCUUGGCUCUAAUACAGUCGGGGGAUGACGGUACCGGAAGAAUAAGCACCGGCUAACUACGUGCCAGCAGCCGCGGUAAUACGUAGGGUGCGAGCGUUAAUCGGAAUUACUGGGCGUAAAGCGUGCGCAGGCGGUUUGCUAAGACCGAUGUGAAAUCCCCGGGCUCAACCUGGGAACUGCAUUGGUGACUGGCAGGCUAGAGUAUGGCAGAGGGGGGUAGAAUUCCACGUGUAGCAGUGAAAUGCGUAGAGAUGUGGAGGAAUACCGAUGGCGAAGGCAGCCCCCUGGGCCAAUACUGACGCUCAUGCACGAAAGCGUGGGGAGCAAACAGGAUUAGAUACCCUGGUAGUCCACGCCCUAAACGAUGUCAACUAGUUGUUGGGGAUUCAUUUCCUUAGUAACGUAGCUAACGCGUGAAGUUGACCGCCUGGGGAGUACGGUCGCAAGAUUAAAACUCAAAGGAAUUGACGGGGACCCGCACAAGCGGUGGAUGAUGUGGAUUAAUUCGAUGCAACGCGAAAAACCUUACCUACCCUUGACAUGGUCGGAAUCCCGCUGAGAGGUGGGAGUGCUCGAAAGAGAACCGGCGCACAGGUGCUGCAUGGCUGUCGUCAGCUCGUGUCGUGAGAUGUUGGGUUAAGUCCCGCAACGAGCGCAACCCUUGUCCUUAGUUGCUACGCAAGAGCACUCUAAGGAGACUGCCGGUGACAAACCGGAGGAAGGUGGGGAUGACGUCAAGUCCUCAUGGCCCUUAUGGGUAGGGCUUCACACGUCAUACAAUGGUCGGAACAGAGGGUUGCCAACCCGCGAGGGGGAGCUAAUCCCAGAAAACCGAUCGUAGUCCGGAUUGCACUCUGCAACUCGAGUGCAUGAAGCUGGAAUCGCUAGUAAUCGCGGAUCAGCAUGCCGCGGUGAAUACGU